CUUCACACUUCUCUUCUGCUUUUCCUCUUGCAAAUUGGGCAGGAAUUUUGAUCGAGCAUGGGGCGGAAGAAGGUGGAGAUGAAGCGAAUCGAAGACAAAAGCAGCCGUCAAGUGACUUUCUCCAAGAGACGAAACGGAUUAAUCAAGAAGGCUCGCGAACUCACCGUUCUCUGCGAUGUUCAAAUCGGUGUAAUCGUCUUCUCCAACAGCGGCAAGCUAUAUGAAUUUUGUAGCACUGGCAGGCAGCUUGAAGGGCCAACUUGUGAGCAGCUUAGUGUGACUGAUCUUAUCAAAUUGGUGCAAAUGAUACAAAGAGCUAUCAAGUGGAUUAUUCAAGCUCUAAGUCAUAUACAGAGCUACUGCAAAUAGUUGAAACGCAGCUUGAAGGGCCAACUUGUGAGCAGCUUAGUGUGACUGAUCUUAUCAAAUUGGAGAAUCAAUUUGCUGCUGCAUUGACACAAAUCAGAGCCAAAAAGACAGAACUGAUGUUGGAUUUUAUAAAGGCCCUCCACAACAAGGAAAUUAUGCUGAAAGAGGACAAUGUUCAUCUAGAGAGGGAGAUGGAAGCAAUGAAGAACGGUGUUGGCAUGGUGAAAAGGCUUAGAACCCAUCCAAACCUCCAUUUGGUUCAUUCUCCACAACAGGCAACUCUAAGUUUACUUCAGUGAUCGGCUAUAAGACAGCAUUGAUUGCCAGGUAGACUUCCUGCUCUUGUUGCCAUGUGAUGUGUCCACUGAUUCCGUGUUUGUUGUCAUAUUUGAAAGGGUAUUAUUUGAAGCCCAUUUCCUCCUUGCUCCCAAGUAUCUUGAUCUAUGGCUCAACCAUCUUUGAUCAAGUGAUAUCCCUCAUUGUUGACUGUACUCCGUGAAGUUGUAUGACACACAAUAUUAUGUUCUGAUGAAUCAUCAACAUAUCCAAUAACUUGUGUGGAAGACAUAUUAGUUAAUAAGUUGCAGGAGCUUGUACUCAUUUGGGAUCAUGCAAGACUGGGUUUUAUAUGACAGAGAAAAUCAAAU
Molecule: unclassified non-coding RNA, 1016 nt
Filed under: Hevea brasiliensis (rubber tree)
Lineage: Eukaryota; Viridiplantae; Streptophyta; Magnoliopsida; Malpighiales; Euphorbiaceae
Source: RNAcentral